AUGGAUCACGAUUACUCGUUGCCGCAUGCACCGCGUCCUCUCCCCGCACAGCGCAAACGCACAGGCGACCCAGACGACCCAGACGACCCGCGGAGGAAAUGGGACCGAAAGAGAGCGAAGACGAGGGUGAACAUCGGUGCGGCGGCGCUGAGAAGAUGGAGAGAACUUCGCGACGUGCUCGGACUACAGAAAGACUCCGACCUCGCAUGUCUUCUGUUAGACAAUUACCACAAAGGAGAACAAGCCUCGUCAACUCCUAGCAGGAUACGUGGAUUGCCUGUUCAGACCCUCUCAACCGUGUCAACAUCCAGUGACUCACAGCCGGAUAGCGACCACAGCUUUCUGGAGCCUGAAGACCUUUCCAUGGCAGACAUAAAAGAAGAAGCACUAGAUGAAAGGGUUGACUGUAAAGAUCCAGAUGACGACACAUGGGAAACAGCCAGUGAGGACGGAUGUUCUGAUGAGGACUCUAUCCCGUCUAUUAGUCUGAGAUAUUUUCCAAUGGCCUACAAAUAUGGAAAUGGCGAUGGCGGCCCACACUCAAAUACAGAAUACGGGCAGGUGACUUCAUGA
RNAcentral lists this long non-coding RNA (573 nucleotides) under Dicentrarchus labrax (European seabass). RNAcentral's name for it is "lncRNA (ENSDLAG00005028065.1)". Lineage: Eukaryota; Metazoa; Chordata; Actinopteri; Moronidae. The record is from RNAcentral.